GUGAAGCAUUGUUACUUUACUCACCCACUGCAAAGCUGUCCCCCGCGUAAUGCUUCGUUCACGUGACUUCUCCGAAUUUUACAUUUCGUUCCUUGCUGACUCCCCCCCCUACUCAAAAACCCUGAACCAUUACCCCUAUAGGGCGGCGCGGGGGCGGCGGCGGCACGCGCCCUCCCCAAGUAAUGCUUCGUUCACGUAACUUCUCCGAAAUUUUAGGAGCUCUAUAGGGUUUCGUAAGUGCGCGUUCAUGGCAUCUCCCCGCUCUGGCCUUUUUGUUCUUGAAGCCUCGUGCACGUGCGCCUUGCGGUUGCGCGAGGCAUGUUAGGAUAAGAAGGGUGAUGACCAUGUACAGAACAAACUUGCAUCAUUUGCAAUGUCCCUGUGAUGAGCAAAGGAGCAAGAAACAUUCGAAACCAAAGGAAGUUGCACUCCCAACCGCACGGCAAUUCAGUAGAUCAGAUGCUGCUUAAAACUACAGUUAGAAUAUGCAGCCAAAUCCUGCUCGGAAUAGACUUACAAGAUUCGGCACAAGCAUUACAAGACAAUCUCCCUCUUCCUUUGGAUUCUCUUAUCUAUAAUGCUGUUCUAGCAAUGAUGUAAACCCAACUCCCUCUUCCUCCAAAUUUCAAGAAAGUAUAAACAGAGAAUGGAGAGAUUAGACCCGAAAAGAGCCGAGUUAGAGUAGCAAGGACCAAGUCCUCCUAAUUCAACCACAAUCUCUCCGCUCAUUUCCCUUCGACAAAAUGGAAUAUGCACAACACGACGUGAAAGGAAUGAAAGCGUGCAAGUCAGUUAUGUGCAGGCUUUGACGUCCUGGUUUUGUUUCGUAGAUGUUGAUGAUGUUGAAGAAGAUAUAGUUGAUGACUUAUCGAGCCCUCUCGAACUUCAUCCUAAUUUUCCACUAUCAAAUGAUGGAUUUGACCAGCCAUCUUCAUGUUCCGGGCGACUUACUGUAGCGGUUUCUAUGAUGAAGAGUUUUGAAGUCCAUUCUUUGUCAACCCCUCUCGAGUUGUUAGUCUCUGCAACAAGGUUUUCAAGAAGCGAGAGUCCUGGCAAAAGCUUGCAGUGCUCAUCUGGCAGCAUUCAACCAUCAGAACUCCUCUCCUUUGCGAAAUCUCAGGUGGACUAUAUCCUGGGAGACAACCCUAGAGCCAUGAGCUACAUGGUCGGGUACGGGAACAACUACCCAAGGCAGGUCCAUCACUGGGCAACUUCCAUCGUGUCCAUCAAGGAGGAUUCGUCCAUCGUCAGCUGCUGAGCUGGUUAUGCCGCCUGGUUUAGCCGGAAAGCAAGCGAACCCAAUCUCCUCACUAGUGCUAUCAUCGGUGGUCCCGAUACAUAUGAUAACUUUGCCGUCAAAGAGACAAUUACAAGCAAAUGGAGCCUGCUACUACAACAACGCUCCACUCCUCGGCACAUUAGCCUGGUUGAGUGGUGGUCACGGCGGUUACAGUCAACUCCUUCCAGGUAUUUGAUCUUUGAAAUGUGUUGUUAUUUCAGACAAAAGCAAUGUCUCGACAUAUUUCGGCAUCUGAUGGAUGGGUUUCUAUUCAAUGCAGUGGUUGUUCCUGCGCUGUAAGCAGCCAUGGCCAAGCCAAGUCUAGCUCCUGUAACAGCUUCCAACAAGCUGUCCAUCGAGCAGAAGCUAACGGCUUCAUGGACUGCCAACAGGAGAACUUACCGCAGAUGCUAAACAGUGGUGACCAACAAAUCGGACAAGAUGCUGAAAUAUGUCAACCUGUCAAUCUCCAAGCUCUACGGUCCUCUGUGGGGACUAACCAAGUCCAGCGACUCGGACGUGUUCCCUUCCUGGAUCUAAUCCUUACCUUCAGGGAAGAGCCUCGGGUUUGUGUACAUCCGUACUUUGCCUCUAGUGGACAUCUCCAUUCUCAAGCUACACUUUGGCAUAGGAAGAUACUCCAGCUUCAUAUGUAAUUGCACAGUUUUUCUGGGUUUCAGGGAUGUAAAGAAUUGUGCAGCAAUACCUAUUGGAUAUGGCCUUGGAAAGUUCUUGCUUUCUUUCUUUUCAAAAAUUUUCGUCUUCGCUUCAAUGUCGGAACCUGCUUCCAAGCUGAAUAAGGGUGAAGAUCGGAGGACGAAAGGAGUGAAGAGACAUUACAAAACGAGUGCUAUCCUCUUUCCCCUCAACUUCGCUGGUUAAAAGAGAAAGAGUCUGAGAUGUGCCGCAGCAAAGAUGGUUUGCUGAGGAGUGAGAAAAGAAAGGGCUUCCUUAGAGUUCGUGGGGUCCCUUUUGUUUCUUGAAUUUUUUCCUUCUUGUGAUGGUGUUGUUAAAAAGCUUUGCAACAAUUUCUGUGU
This is a long non-coding RNA of Eucalyptus grandis, 2316 nucleotides long. RefSeq lists it as uncharacterized. The transcript has 4 exons. The record is from RefSeq and is a predicted model, not a curated record. Lineage: Eukaryota; Viridiplantae; Streptophyta; Magnoliopsida; Myrtales; Myrtaceae.